RNAcentral lists this ribosomal RNA (252 nucleotides) under uncultured bacterium. RNAcentral describes it as "partial 16S ribosomal RNA". It matches the Rfam family "Bacterial small subunit ribosomal RNA", at positions 524 to 776 of the family's 1533-position model. The record is from RNAcentral.
CACGUAGGGUGCGAGCGUUGUCCGGAAUUAUUGGGCGUAAAGAGCUCGUAGGCGGUUUGUCGCGUCUGCCGUGAAAUCCGGGGCUCAACUCCGGAUCUGCGGUGGGUACGGGCAGACUAGAGUGAUGUAGGGGAGACUGGAAUUCCUGGUGUAGCGGUGAAAUGCGCAGAUAUCAGGAGGAACACCGAUGGCGAAGGCAGGUCUCUGGGCAUUAACUGACGCUGAGGAGCGAAAGCAUGGGGAGCGAACAGG